UACGAAGGGGGCUAGCGUUGUUCGGAAUCACUGGGCGUAAAGGGCGCGUAGGCGGCCGCUCAAGUCGGGGGUUAAAGCCUGUGGCUUAACCACAGAAUUGCCUUCGAUACUGUUUGGCUUGAGACCGGAAGAGGUGAGUGGAACUGCGAGUGUAGAGGUGAAAUUCGUAGAUAUUCGCAAGAACACCAGUGGCGAAGGCGGCUCACUGGUCCGGUUCUGACGCUGAGGCGCGAAAGCGUGGGGAGCAAACAGG
This 253-nucleotide ribosomal RNA is filed under the name uncultured bacterium. RNAcentral's name for it is "partial 16S ribosomal RNA". It matches the Rfam family "Bacterial small subunit ribosomal RNA", at positions 524 to 776 of the family's 1533-position model. The record is from RNAcentral.